Molecule: ribosomal RNA, 857 nt
Filed under: Winogradskyella sp.
Lineage: Bacteria; Pseudomonadati; Bacteroidota; Flavobacteriia; Flavobacteriales; Flavobacteriaceae
Description: bacterial SSU rRNA
Rfam family: Bacterial small subunit ribosomal RNA
Source: RNAcentral
GAAGUCGACGGUAACAUUGAUGCUUGCAUCAGAUGACGAGUGGCGCACGGGCUGAGUAACGCGUAUACAAUCUACCUUUUACAGGGGGAUAGCCUUUAGAAAUGAAGAUUAAUAUCCCAUAGUAAGUAGUUUUGGCAUCAAGACAACUUUAAAGUUUCGGCGGUAAAAGAUGAGUAUGCGUUCUAUUAGUUAGUUGGUAAGGUAACGGCUUACCAAGACCACGAUAGAUAGGGGCCCUGAGAGGGGGAUCCCCCACACUGGUACUGAGACACGGACCAGACUCCUACGGGAGGCAGCAGUGAGGAAUAUUGGACAAUGGGCGCGAGCCUGAUCCAGCCAUGCCGCGUGCAGGAAGACUGCCCUAUGGGUUGUAAACUGCUUUUAUACAGGAAGAAACCUUUUCACGUGUGAAAAGCUGACGGUACUGUAAGAAUAAGGAUCGGCUAACUCCGUGCCAGCAGCCGCGGUAAUACGGAGGAUCCAAGCGUUAUCCGGAAUCAUUGGGUUUAAAGGGUCCGUAGGUGGAUAAUUAAGUCAGGGGUGAAAGUUUGCAGCUCAACUGUAAAAUUGCCUUUGAUACUGGUUAUCUUGAAUUAUUGUGAAGUGGUUAGAAUAUGUAGUGUAGCGGUGAAAUGCAUAGAUAUUACAUAGAAUACCAAUUGCGAAGGCAGAUCACUAACAAUAUAUUGACACUGAUGGACGAAAGCGUGGGGAGCGAACAGGAUUAGAUACCCUGGUAGUCCACGCCGUAAACGAUGGAUACUAGCUGUUCGGUUUUCGGACUGAGUGGCUAAGCGAAAGUGAUAAGUAUCCCACCUGGGGAGUACGUUCGCAAGAAUGAAACUCAAAGGAAUUGA